RNAcentral lists this ribosomal RNA (1020 nucleotides) under uncultured bacterium. RNAcentral's name for it is "bacterial SSU rRNA". It matches the Rfam family "Bacterial small subunit ribosomal RNA", at positions 442 to 1463 of the family's 1533-position model. The record is from RNAcentral.
GUGAACAACGGAAGAGCUGAUGGUAGCGAAAGAGGAAGGGACGGCUAACUCUGUGCAGCAGCCGCGGUAAUACAGAGGUCCCGAGCGUUGUUCGGAUUCACUGGGCGUAAAGGGUGCGUAGGUGGUGAGGUAAGUCGGAUGUGAAAGCUCGGAGCUCAACUCCGAAAUGGCAUUGGAAACUACCUUGCUUGAGGAUUGGAGGGGGGACUGGAAUUCUCGGUGUAGCAGUGAAAUGCGUAGAGAUCGAGAGGAACACCAGUGGCGAAGGCGAGUCCCUGGACAAUACCUGACGCUGAGGCACGAAAGCUAGGGGAGCAAACAGGAUUAGAUACCCUGGUAGUCCUAGCCGUAAACGGUGCACGCUUGCUGUAGGCGGAAUCGACCCCGUCUGUGGCGAAGCCAACGCGAUAAGCGUGCCGCCUGGGAAGUACGGUCGCAAGAUUAAAACUCAAAGAAAUUGACGGGGGCCUGCACAAGCGGUGGAGUAUGUGGCUCAAUUCGAUGCAACGCGAAGAACCUUACCUGGCCUUGACAUGCAAGUAGUAGGAGGAUGAAAGUCUAACGACCCCGCAAGGGGAGCUUGCACAGGUGCUGCAUGGCUGUCGUCAGCUCGUGUCGUGAGAUGUUGGGUUAAGUCCCGCAACGAGCGCAACCCUCGUGUCCUGUUGCAACCUUUACGAGAGUAGAGGGCACUCUGGACAGACUGCCUCGCUUUAACGGGGAGGAAGGUGAGGAUGACGUCAAGUCAGUAUGGCCCUUACGGCCAGGGCUGCACACGUACUACAAUGGCCGGUACAAAGGGAAGCAAGACCGUCAGGUGGAGCAAAUCCCCGAAAACCGGCCCCAGUUCAGAUUGUCGUCUGCAACUCGACGGCAUGAAGCUGGAAUCGCUAGUAAUGGCGCAUCAGCUACGGCGCCGUGAAUACGUUCCCAGGCCUUGUACACACCGCCCGUCACAUCAUGAAAGCCGGUUGUACCCGAAGUCAUUGUGUUAACCGCAAGGAUACAGAUGCCGAAGGU